This 1017-nucleotide ribosomal RNA is filed under the name uncultured bacterium. RNAcentral's name for it is "bacterial SSU rRNA". It matches the Rfam family "Bacterial small subunit ribosomal RNA", at positions 355 to 1375 of the family's 1533-position model. The record is from RNAcentral.
UGAGGAAUAUUGGUCAAUGGGCGCGAGCCUGAACCAGCCAAGUAGCGUGAAGGAUGAAGGUCCUACGGAUUGUAAACUUCUUUUAUAAAGGAAUAAAGUCGGGUAUGUAUACCCGUUUGCAUGUACUUUAUGAAUAAGGAUCGGCUAACUCCGUGCCAGCAGCCGCGGUAAUACGGAGGAUCCGAGCGUUAUCCGGAUUUAUUGGGUUUAAAGGGAGCGUAGAUGGAUGUUUAAGUCAGUUGUGAAAGUUUGCGGCUCAACCGUAAAAUUGCAGUUGAUACUGGAUAUCUUGAGUGCAGUUGAGGCAGGCGGAAUUCGUGGUGUAGCGGUGAAAUGCUUAGAUAUCACGAAGAACUCCGAUUGCGAAGGCAGCCUGCUAAGCUGCAACUGACAUUGAGGCUCGAAAGUGUGGGUAUCAAACAGAAUUAGAUACCCUGGUAGUCCACACGGUAAACGAUGAAUACUCGCUGUUUGCGAUAUACUGCAAGCGGCCAAGCGAAAGCGUUAAGUAUUCCACCUGGGGAGUACGCCGGCAACGGUGAAACUCAAAGGAAUUGACGGGGGCCCGCACAAGCGGAGGAACAUGUGGUUUAAUUCGAUGAUACGCGAGGAACCUUACCCGGGCUUAAAUUGCAGAUGAAUUACGGUGAAAGCCGUAAGCCGCAAGGCAUCUGUGAAGGUGCUGCAUGGUUGUCGUCAGCUCGUGCCGUGAGGUGUCGGCUUAAGUGCCAUAACGAGCGCAACCCUCGUGUCCAGUUACUAGCAGGUUAUGCUGAGGACUCUGGACAGACUGCCAUCGUAAGAUGUGAGGAAGGUGGGGAUGACGUCAAAUCAGCACGGCCCUUACGUCCGGGGCUACACACGUGUUACAAUGGGGGGUACAGCAGGCAGCUACCGGGCGACCGGAUGCCAAUCCCGAAAGCCUCUCUCAGUUCGGACUGGAGUCUGCAACCCGACUCCACGAAGCUGGAUUCGCUAGUAAUCGCGCAUCAGCCACGGCGCGGUGAAUACGUUCCC